Myotis brandtii (Brandt's bat) is the source of this 403-nucleotide long non-coding RNA. RefSeq lists it as uncharacterized. The transcript has 3 exons. The record is from RefSeq and is a predicted model, not a curated record. NCBI's taxonomy places the organism in Eukaryota, Metazoa, Chordata, Mammalia, Chiroptera, Vespertilionidae.
CGGAAUCGAACCUGGGACCCUUGAGUCCGCAGGCCGACGCUCUAUCCACUGAGCCAAACCGGUUAGGGCAUCGAUAUUUUUGUUAAUGAGUUACCCCCCUCACCCCCGCCCAGAAAAAAAAAAAUUUUUAAACAAAUUUCAGCCCCAGAAAUCCAAUUCUGCCCUUGGAACAUACACAGGACAUUUUGUGUCACAGGAACUGACUUUCUUGUUUUGACUGGGAAACAGCAAAGGAUUUGGGAAGAGAGGUCUCAGCUUUCCCACCAGGAUGAUAGGGAAUCAAACCUGCAACCUUUUGAUGCACAGGAGGACGCUCCCACCAACUAAGCCAUUGGGCCAGGGCUUUGUGUCCUUAUAUUUAAAAUGGGUUCUUGUAGAAAGAGAAGAAGCAAGAGAGAAAGAG